This 253-nucleotide ribosomal RNA is filed under the name uncultured bacterium. RNAcentral describes it as "partial 16S ribosomal RNA". It matches the Rfam family "Bacterial small subunit ribosomal RNA", at positions 524 to 776 of the family's 1533-position model. The record is from RNAcentral.
UACGUAGGGCGCAAGCGUUGUCCGGAAUUAUUGGGCGUAAAGAGCUCGUAGGCGGUUUGUCGCGUCUGCUGUGAAAACCUAAGGCUCAACCUUGGGCUUGCAGUGGGUACGGGCAGACUAGAGUGCGGUAGGGGUGACUGGAAUUCCUGGUGUAGCGGUGGAAUGCGUAGAUAUCGGGAGGAACACCUGAGGCGAAGGCGGGCUACUGGGCCGAUACUGACGCUGAUGCGCGAAAGCCAGGGGAGCGAACGGG